RNAcentral lists this ribosomal RNA (597 nucleotides) under Russula subpallidirosea. Its description in RNAcentral is "partial small subunit ribosomal RNA". It matches the Rfam family "Bacterial small subunit ribosomal RNA", at positions 345 to 967 of the family's 1533-position model. The record is from RNAcentral. Lineage: Eukaryota; Fungi; Basidiomycota; Agaricomycetes; Russulales; Russulaceae.
AAUCCCGCAGUCCAAGAUAUUAGUCAAUGCUCGAAAGAGUGAACUAGCUAACUGAAAUCAAUUAAAAAUUGAUAACAUAAGGGAAAAUAAUGAUAUUACCUUAUUAUUAGUGUCGUCCAAAACUGGUGCCAGAAGACUCGGUAAGGCCAGAGACAUAAACGUUAAUCGUCUUAAUCAGGCGUAAAGGGUUUGUAGGCGGCUUUUAAUUUUACUUAUUUAUUCUGUUUUUUUUUUUUAAUUAAAAUUUAUAAGUAAAGAAUAAAAGCUAGAAUCAAAUAUAGGAUAUAUUAAAUAAUGCUUAGAGUAGGUCUGAUAUCCAUAGAUACUAAGUAGAAUAUUAAAGGCGAAGGCUUUUUUCCAUUAAUGAUUGACGCUCAGAAACGAAGGUGAGGAUAGGAAAUAGGAUUAGAUACCCAAAAUACCCCUCUCUGUCAACGAUGAAUGGUAGUUAUUAGUAAUAAAUUAAUUAAUGACAAUGUUAACACGAUAACCAUUCCGCCUUGUGAGUACAACUGCAAAGUUGAAAACAAAAAAAUUAGUCGGUUCCGGAGCAAACGAAGUGAAGCAUGUUAUUUAAUCCGAAUAAAUCCCCGCAAA